Molecule: ribosomal RNA, 270 nt
Filed under: Triticum aestivum (bread wheat)
Lineage: Eukaryota; Viridiplantae; Streptophyta; Magnoliopsida; Poales; Poaceae
Description: partial small subunit ribosomal RNA
Source: RNAcentral
AUGAAGACCGUGUACCGGAAGUUUGCUUCAUUGGGUGAACACCAUUCCCUGACAACAGAGGCCAAUCAUGUGUGUCUAAGAUGUAACGUAUGGAAAUACGAAAUUGCAGGUCGUCUCGGAGGAAAAUAAAUUGCACGCGCCGAAUCCAUUAAAAAGGGUAGACUUCCCCUCCAAACAAUUCACGCUAAAAUUGAUUAUUGUUGCUAUUCAAUUCGAACUAUUUAUGGAGUAUUAGGUGUAAAAUUUUGGAUAUUCAUAGAUGAAGAAUAA